ACGAAACAUCACACAGAGAAAGAGUUCAUUGGCAAAUUGAAGAUGAAUUCUAUAUAUAAAUAUUGAUAAUGGUUGGUACUUUUGAUUAAUAAGUAAUUUGCUUUUUCGUGUUAUGGAGACAGAUGCACCAGACAUCCACGUUCACCUAUUGUAUAAUUUAAUUUAUUUAAUCAAUUACUAAUAUGAAUAAAAUCCUGCUACCG
This 203-nucleotide long non-coding RNA is filed under the name Linum usitatissimum (flax). Its description in RNAcentral is "long non-coding RNA (LUSI_LNC007813)". The record is from RNAcentral. Lineage: Eukaryota; Viridiplantae; Streptophyta; Magnoliopsida; Malpighiales; Linaceae.